Molecule: ribosomal RNA, 253 nt
Filed under: uncultured bacterium
Lineage: Bacteria
Description: partial 16S ribosomal RNA
Rfam family: Bacterial small subunit ribosomal RNA
Source: RNAcentral
UACGAAGGGGGCUAGCGUUGCACGGAAUCACUGGGCGUAAAGGGUGCGUAGGCGGGUCUUUAAGUCAGACGUGAAAUCCCUCGGCUUAACCGGGGAACUGCGUCUGAUACUGGAUGGCUUGAGGUUGGGAGAGGGAUGCGGAAUUCCAGGUGUAGCGGUGAAAUGCGUAGAUAUCUGGAGGAACACCGGUGGCGAAGGCGGCAUCCUGGACCAAUUCUGACGCUGAGGAGCGAAAGCCAGGGGAGCAAACGGG